AACUCCUCGCAGGGCCAUGGCUUAGAAGGGAAAGGUGAGGAUGUGAAAGGGCUGAGACUGCGGUAUUUCUUGGUGCAGGCUUUGGUCUGGUGAAAACCAUUAUUUGACCACAUCUUCUCACAGUUGUCCCCGAGGCUGGACAGAUGGGGGACUCUGAGAGUCAUCCCCAGGAUCUACGGUUGUGUUAAUGUGGAAGCUGCUGAUAUAUCGUAGGUGGCACUGUACACAUUUACUGCCACCUAAAGGGAUCCCGUAUCAUUUUCCCUUUGCCUCUCAGCAUUUUUACCCUCAGGAUUUGCAAUCCCAAAAUCAAGGACUGUGGAAUUCAUUCCCUUGACAGAGCCUAUGACAGAGCCCUGCUGGCACACAUAUUAUAUGUGUGAUAACGAUGGUGAUGAGGAGGAUGAGGAGGAUGAUGUCGAAUAGAAAUGCACCUUCUUGAAGGGUUCCUCUCCCACAUGAACGCUUAUCUUAUUUGAACCAGAAAUGUGCACACUGAACCCACUCCUGCUGAAGAAGACUGCUGUGACUGAUGCAGAUAUGCUAACAGGCACAGGAAAAGGAUCCAGGUGACUUUCUUGUUAAAGAAGUGCAUGCAUUUUCUAUCCACCGAAACCCACACAAACAGGUGGCACAAGGGCCCCCUUGGCCAGAGACCAAGUCUCCCUGGGCCUCCAACUUCCAUGGAGGCCCCCAAGCUGCCCUUGGUUCCGAUGGUGCAAGGAAGCGUCUACCUGUAAGAGCUCUCUUUUGCCACUUCCCAGGAGUUUUAGACCCUUCUGGCCACCCCUGUGCCUUCUAGAAUCCCAGGCUAAGCGCCCACCUGUCCACCAGGUGCAGGUAACAGUGACAAACUCAGCAUUUGCUGAAGGUCACUGUGAGGCCGUGUGCCUCCAAAGUCCCUCCCUGCUUCCCUCCUGGGUCACACAGGUGCUGUGGCUGUGAAGUCGCAGUUGCGGUAGCAGCGGUGGCAGGAUCACUCUCCUUUGGGCAAUUCUGGUGAACCUGCAAGCCCAGCCUCUAACUCUGAGACCAAGCAGCUGAGAGUCACCUAAAACCUACAGUCAGAGUCAGCUAAAAUUUUACAAACGAUGAAGGCACAGCAUAGUGCUGUUUAUUGGAAAUGCGAUAAUAAAAUAGAUUUAUUUUAUUAUCCACAUUUUAAGCAGUUUAACUUGUUUAUGG
Molecule: long non-coding RNA, 1185 nt
Filed under: Homo sapiens (human)
Lineage: Eukaryota; Metazoa; Chordata; Mammalia; Primates; Hominidae
Description: HSALNT0100207
Source: RNAcentral